Long non-coding RNA from Lathyrus oleraceus (garden pea), 1371 nucleotides. RefSeq lists it as uncharacterized. The record is from RefSeq and is a predicted model, not a curated record. The transcript has 2 exons. Lineage: Eukaryota; Viridiplantae; Streptophyta; Magnoliopsida; Fabales; Fabaceae.
ACUUUAGCCAUAGUAUAAAGCCUUAGUAGAGGAGAAAUACAGUUUACCAUACUCUUCUAUGUCUUCUCUUUUAAAUCUUUGUUUUUAUUACCAGCACCAAAUUUGUUUUUAUAUUCGAAGAAUCCCUUUGAUUCAGAUUUGAGUUUUAAGUGAUUAUGCCAAAUUUAAUUUAUACACAAAAUUAUUUCGUUUCUCUUGUUUGAAGAGUUCAUCCAUAGUCAUCUGACUAGAUUCAUAUAGUUGUUCUACAAAUAUUCAAAUGCAUAUACACAAGAAGAAGAGACUAUCAUAUCAAAUUUCUGUAAAGAGUGACUCAUCCAGCAUAGUUGGGACGUUGGUAACAUCCACCGAAGAAGGAAUCACCCAUGGAAUCCUUUUUAUCUUCUGCAUUGUUUUAUGACUGUUUAUCUUAAAUGCAGGAGGAGAUGGAGAAAGGUCGAAAGAUAAAUCUUGAUUUUGAUGUGAUGUAUUGGGCUCUAUAUCCAUACCAUCGAGAUCUUAAAUGAAAAAUUUUAGCAUAUUUAGAAGUUCUCAUCUGUGAGAUUAAAGUCAGUGACUGAAUGUGUUGGUUGUGUGAAGGUGUCUAGUAGAGUCUGUUAAAUUGGAGGAUAAUAGACAUCUUCAUGGUUGAAUGUAGAAGUGAGUUGAGAGAGUGUAGUAUUAAAGGUUUGGUGUUGGGAUUGGAGUUUGAGUAGUCGAAGUUUGGUUGAGGAAUUAGAGUGUAUUGUAUGGGUGGUUGAUGACCGGUUUGUUGUUGAUAUUGUCGGUUCUUGUAGUAGUUUGUGUGAGGAGUUUGUUGUUGGGAUGAGGUGGCAUAAAAUGUGUGUUGUUGUUGGGAUGAGGUGGCAUAAAAUGUGUGUUGUUGUGUGGUUUGGGUGUGAUGGUAUGUUUCUUGCGCGGAAGAAGAAGUCUGGGGCCCAAAUUAUGGUGUGUACAUGGGUGAAUUUCAUGAUGUAUGGGUGCGGUUGUUUGUUGUGUUGAAGAAGAGGCAUGUUGACGGGGUCAUUCAAAAAUUGCGUGUCAGCAACAUGCAUAAAUGAAAUUGACAUGUUAUCAACAAUAAAGAAACAAAUAACAUAAGUUGUCACACUCAAAAUCGGGCUAUCUCUAUAAUCACACAGUGGGUAUUGAAGGAACAACAUUCACAUAAACGGCCACACAAAAUAUAAUAGUUAGAAUACAAAUAACUAUUUUAGAAAACAUAGAGAUUGUAAGGUUUCAAACUUACAAUUUUCCCCUCCAUGUGAUCUAUUACGACUCGAUACUCACGUAGAUGAAACGAGGAUUAUUUAUGUAAUCCAUACCUCAUUGACACCAUUUUGCAUUUACAAAAAAGAAAAGAAAUGUAUUAGUGUUUGGUAUAGUUCAUUA